This 622-nucleotide ribosomal RNA is filed under the name uncultured bacterium. RNAcentral's name for it is "bacterial LSU rRNA". It matches the Rfam family "Bacterial large subunit ribosomal RNA", at positions 497 to 1119 of the family's 2925-position model. The record is from RNAcentral.
AGUACCGUGAGGGAAAGGCGAAAAGAACCCCGGGAGGGGAGUGAAAUAGAUCCUGAAACCGCAUGCUUACAAAAAGUAGGAGCCUGGAAACGGGUGACUGCGUACCUUUUGUAUAAUGGGUCAGCGACUUACAUUCAGUGGCAAGGUUAACCGAAUAGGGAAGCCGUAGAGAAAUCGAGUCCGAAUAGGGCGCUAGUUGCUGGGUGUAGACCCGAAACCAGUUGAUCUAUCCAUGGCCAGGUUGAAGGUGCGGUAACACGUACUGGAGGACCGAACCCCACUAACGUUGAAAAGUUAGGGGAUGAGCUGUGGNAUAGGGGUGAAAGGCUAAACAAAACUGGAAAUAGCUGGUUCUCUCCGAAAACUAUUUAGGUAGUGCCUCAAGUAUUACCGUCGGGGGUAGAGCACUGUUUUGGCUAGGGGGUCAUGGCGACUUACCAAACCAAGGCAAACUCCGAAAUACCGACGAGUACAGCUUGGGAGACAGAGCACCGGGUGCNUAACGUCCGGACUCAAGNAGGGAAACAACCCAGACCGCCAGCUAAGGUCCCUAAAAUUGGCUAAGUGGGAAACGAAGUGGGNAAGGCUAUAACAGUCAGGAUGUUGGCUUAGAAGCAGCCAU